Stegastes partitus (bicolor damselfish) is the source of this 506-nucleotide RNA transcript. It is a transcript of the gene named H/ACA ribonucleoprotein complex subunit 1-like, with no coding region annotated. Lineage: Eukaryota; Metazoa; Chordata; Actinopteri; Pomacentridae. The record is from RefSeq and is a predicted model, not a curated record. The transcript has 4 exons.
CAACAAGAGGCUUGUGUGCAGCAUCGGUACGCCUUAUAAAUACAGAGACGUCAGGCAGGAACCUUAAAGACGCUUCCCAUCAAGUGUGGAAAGACUCUACUGCACCUGACGACGAGACAAAAUGAGUGAAUCUGGAAAUCGGGGUCCUCCAGAAGAACGUGGGGACGGACCUCCGGGUGAAGAACGUGGAGGAUUUGGUGAAAGAGGUGGACGUGGUGGAGGAGGUGGACGUGGUGGACGCGGUGGAGGAGGUGGACGUGGUGGAGGAGGUGGACACGGGGAGGGACCUCCAGAAGGCCGUGUACCUGGUGGACCUGGUGGACGUGGUGGACGUGGUGGACGUGGUGGUGGACGUGGUGGACGUGGUGGACACGGUGGACCUGAGGACGGCUCUGAAUAAAAAGAGAAACAUGGUGAUAACAACUAAAUGAAGAAAUUCAACACUGUGUGGUUUUGAUUCUCAUGAUUUAAAUGCAUCUCCAAUAAACAAAUCCAGAAACUUCUAA